RNAcentral lists this ribosomal RNA (426 nucleotides) under Escherichia sp. E2661. RNAcentral describes it as "partial 23S ribosomal RNA". It matches the Rfam family "Bacterial large subunit ribosomal RNA", at positions 1 to 457 of the family's 2925-position model. Lineage: Bacteria; Pseudomonadati; Pseudomonadota; Gammaproteobacteria; Enterobacterales; Enterobacteriaceae. The record is from RNAcentral.
GGGUUGUGAGGUUAAGCGACUAAGCGUACACGGUGGAUGCCCUGGCAGUCAGAGGCGAUGAAGGACGUGCUAAUCUGCGAUAAGCGUCGGUGAGGUGAUAUGAACCGUUAUAACCGGCGAUUUCCGAAUGGGGAAACCCAGUGUGUUUCGACACACUAUCAUUAACUGAAUCCAUAGGUUAAUGAGGCGAACCGGGGGAACUGAAACAUCUAAGUACCCCGAGGAAAAGAAAUCAACCGAGAUUCCCCCAGUAGCGGCGAGCGAACGGGGAGCAGCCCAGAGCCUGAAUCAGUGUGUGUGUUAGUGGAAGCGUCUGGAAAGGCGUGCGAUACAGGGUGACAGCCCCGUACACAAAAAUGCACAUGCUGUGAGCUCGAUGAGUAGGGCGGGACACGUGGUAUCCUGUCUGAAUAUGGGGGGACCAUC